AGAGAAGCUUGCUUCUCUUGAGAGCGGCGGACGGGUGAGUAAUGCCUAGGAAUCUGCCUGGUAGUGGGGGAUAACGUUCGGAAACGGACGCUAAUACCGCAUACGUCCUACGGGAGAAAGCAGGGGACCUUCGGGCCUUGCGCUAUCAGAUGAGCCUAGGUCGGAUUAGCUAGUUGGUGAGGUAAUGGCUCACCAAGGCGACGAUCCGUAACUGGUCUGAGAGGAUGAUCAGUCACACUGGAACUGAGACACGGUCCAGACUCCUACGGGAGGCAGCAGUGGGGAAUAUUGGACAAUGGGCGAAAGCCUGAUCCAGCCAUGCCGCGUGUGUGAAGAAGGUCUUCGGAUUGUAAAGCACUUUAAGUUGGGAGGAAGGGCAUUAACCUAAUACGUUAGUGUUUUGACGUUACCGACAGAAUAAGCACCGGCUAACUCUGUGCCAGCAGCCGCGGUAAUACAGAGGGUGCAAGCGUUAAUCGGAAUUACUGGGCGUAAAGCGCGCGUAGGUGGUUUGUUAAGUUGGAUGUG
This 528-nucleotide ribosomal RNA is filed under the name Pseudomonas sp. Air238. RNAcentral describes it as "bacterial SSU rRNA". It matches the Rfam family "Bacterial small subunit ribosomal RNA", at positions 72 to 596 of the family's 1533-position model. Lineage: Bacteria; Pseudomonadati; Pseudomonadota; Gammaproteobacteria; Pseudomonadales; Pseudomonadaceae. The record is from RNAcentral.